RNAcentral lists this long non-coding RNA (398 nucleotides) under Carica papaya (papaya). Its description in RNAcentral is "long non-coding RNA (CPAP_LNC011515)". Lineage: Eukaryota; Viridiplantae; Streptophyta; Magnoliopsida; Brassicales; Caricaceae. The record is from RNAcentral.
UAAGUAGAACAAUCAACUUCAACCAAUAAUAAAUACCAAAAAAUUUACAAAAAGUCUAUUAAAAGAAUGCAGGAGCACAGAAUACCUGAGGAACCUACUAAGACUAGGGAGGCAUAAACAUGGUAUAUGGCUAUUGAGUCAGAUAUGAUGUGAGAGGAUUAAUGUAUCUGAGAGCUUUGUGAUUGAGAAUUGUCAAAAGCCAUAGUAUUAGUUUCUUUUUCUGCAUCAGUUAGCACCAAAACUGCAUCAAUAAAAGGAAUAUUUUGCAUGAUAGCUAAAUUGUGACAUCCCAAGUGCCAAUUAAGACAAAUGAGUAUCAGGUACAGAUUCAGAAUAACGAGUGCAUAAUAAUAUUUAUGCAGUAAAGUUAAACCUUAACAAAUCCUUACAAAUAUAUA